This 409-nucleotide ribosomal RNA is filed under the name bacterium. RNAcentral describes it as "partial 16S ribosomal RNA". It matches the Rfam family "Bacterial small subunit ribosomal RNA", at positions 355 to 776 of the family's 1533-position model. The record is from RNAcentral.
UGGGGAAUAUUGCACAAUGGGGGAAACCCUGAUGCAGCAACGCCGCGUGCGGGAUGACGGCCUUCGGGUUGUAAACCGCUUUCAGCCAUGACGAAGCUUUUGUGACGGUAGUGGCAGAAGAAGCACCGGCUAACUACGUGCCAGCAGCCGCGGUGAUGCGUAGGGUGCGAGCGUUGUCCGGAAUUAUUGGGCGUAAAGAGCUUGUAGGCGGUUUGUCGCGUCGAAAGUGUAAACUCAGUGCUUAACGCUGAGCCUGCUUUCGAUACGGGCUGACUAGAGGAAGGUAGGGGAGAAUGGAAUUCCCGGUGGAGCGGUGGAAUGCGCAGAUAUCGGGAGGAACACCAGUGGCGAAGGCGGUUCUCUGGACCUUUCCUGACGCUGAGAAGCGAAAGCGUGGGUAGCAAACAGG